AACGAACGCUGGCGGCAUGCCUAACACAUGCAAGUCGAACGAGACCUUCGGGUCUAGUGGCGCACGGGUGCGUAACGCGUGGGAACCUGCCCUUAGGUUCGGAAUAACUCCCCGAAAGGGGUGCUAAUACCGGAUAAUGUCUUCGGACCAAAGAUUUAUCGCCUUUGGAUGGGCCCGCGUUGGAUUAGCUAGUUGGUAGGGUAAAAGCCUACCAAGGCGACGAUCCAUAGCUGGUCUGAGAGGAUGAUCAGCCACACUGGGACUGAGACACGGCCCAGACUCCUACGGGAGGCAGCAGUGGGGAAUAUUGGACAAUGGACGAAAGCCUGAUCCAGCAAUGCCGCGUGAGUGAUGAAGGCCUUAGGGUUGUAAAGCUCUUUGAGCCGGGAUGAUAAUGACAGUACCGGGAGAAGAAGCUCCGGCUAACUCCGUG
RNAcentral lists this ribosomal RNA (433 nucleotides) under uncultured bacterium. RNAcentral's name for it is "partial 16S ribosomal RNA". It matches the Rfam family "Bacterial small subunit ribosomal RNA", at positions 29 to 507 of the family's 1533-position model. The record is from RNAcentral.